RNAcentral lists this long non-coding RNA (2558 nucleotides) under Chloebia gouldiae (Gouldian finch). Its description in RNAcentral is "Erythrura gouldiae (Gouldian finch) lncRNA (ENSEGOG00005017521.1)". The record is from RNAcentral. Lineage: Eukaryota; Metazoa; Chordata; Aves; Passeriformes; Passeridae.
AGAUUUGGGAAUCAUUCAGAUCUCGUGGAAAAGAAGAUCUCUGGCUCCAUCCCACAAAUCCGAGGAUUGGGAGUCAGACGGGAUCCCGAGGAUUUGCCAGGGGCUUUGUGAAGCCGGGAUGAUUUAAUUAAUUAACAACAAUUAAGAGGCGGAGAGGGGGACCUGGGGGCGGCCGCUUCGGGGUCGAGGUCACCCCGUGUCCCCCGCCCGGAAUUCCAGAGGGGCUGGGGACAUCCCAGCCUUUGGAAUGAUCCCAUGGGACGGUUCCUUGUUUUUCCGCGGCUCCCGGCAGACAAUGGGGCCGGAGGGAGCAGCCCCGAGGUCUCGGAUCCGACUCCAUUCGGGAUUUGGGAUCAGCUUUCCAAGCGGAGCUUUUAUGGAUGGAUUGUCCCGCCGGGAUGCUCGGGAAGAGGAUCCUGGGAAGGGAUUUGGGAAUUCUCGGCUCGCAAUUCCGGCCCCAAAUCCGAGGAGUCUCAGCCCUGCAGGAUCCCUGGAUGUGGAUGGAAACAUCCCAGCGUUCCUGGAUCCCGCCCGGAUCCCGUCCCUGCGCCGCUUUUCCGGGAUCCUGGACANNNNNNNNNNNNNNNNNNNNNNNNNNNNNNNNNNNNNNNNNNNNNNNNNNNNNNNNNNNNNNNNNNNNNNNNNNNNNNNNNNNNNNNNNNNNNNNNNNNNAAACCCUGUGGAGCCACCUGGAAGCGGCUUUGGGGUGUCCUUGGGAUUGUUGGAAGGGACGAGGAGAUGGGAUUUGGGAUUUCUCCAGGGAAUCCUGAGCGCUCCCCCAGGAAUUUGGGAUGGGGGGAUUUUGGGGAGGGGGGGGGUGGGAAUUCCAGAAUCCCCAGGAAUUUUUUUUGAUGGGAAUUUGGGAUUCCGGGAUCCUCCAGCCCUGGGAUUCGGUUUUCCAGGUGCUGCAGGAUUUCCAGGUCGGAUCCUCAUGGAAAAAGGGGCUGGGAAGGAAAGUGGGAAAUUCCAUGGAUGGGAACGGGGCUGGAGCCGCUGGAAAAGGGAACGGAGGAUCCUGAAGGACCUGGGGGUGAUCCCAGAGAAAAGGGGGAUCCAGGGGGGGAUUUGGGAUCUGAUCCCAGGGGGGAUUUGGGAUCUGAUCCCAGGGGGGGAUUUGGGAUCUGAUCCCAGGGGAGAUUUGGGAUCUGAUCCCAGGGAAUGGGAACAGGUGUGCCAGGGUGGGAAAUUUGGGAUGAUUUUUCCAUGGGAAAAGGGUUGGGAAGUGCCGGAAGGGGCCCGGGCAGGGCUGGAUCUCAUCCCUGGAGGGAAUUCCUGGAAUUCGGAUGUUGAUCCAUCCCAGCUCGGACUUGGUGACCUCGGAGAUCUUUCCCAGCCUGACAAUCCCAGGAUUCUCACUCCCUUUGGAAGCACAUCCCAGAUUCCCGGUUGGAUCCCAGAGCUGGAUUCUCCUGGCAAAGGAGCCUUGGGAUGCUCCCACCCUUCCCCGAUUGCCAAUUCCUCGAGGAUGGAAUCCCAGAUCCUUCAUCCGCCGGAUUCUCCAAGUGGGAUUUUUCCCAGGAAAAUUCAUUCCCAGCUUUCCCAGAACCCCGGAUCGUGAAGGAGUGGAUUUUCCUCUUGGAAUUCUCCCUCUGGAGCCAUUGGGAAGAAGAUUUUUCCUCUGGAAACGCUUGGAUCUAUUUUUUAUUUUUAAUUUUUUUCACUCUUUGGGGAAUAUUUGAAUCCCAAACAUUGGAUUUGAGGUGCAGGACUUUGAUCCCGGGAAAAAUUCCAGCCUGGACUUGAAGAAGUUGGGAAUGGCGAAGCCUCUCCAGCCCUGGGGGGAUUUUUUGGGAGCUUUGAUCGUCCCAGGAUUAAAAAAUGGGAAUUUUCCUCCUCCUCUUUUGCAUCCUGCUCUGGCUCCCGGCGUCUCCCAGAGUCCGGGAAUCCAUUCCCGACUUUUCCAGGGCUGUGGAACCGGCUCUGCUGGAAAAGAUUCCAAGAAAAAUCCCUUUUUUUUUUUUUGCUGCUGGAAUGAGAGGAUGAGGAGCUCCCGGAUUCCUGCUGGGAUUCCCAAAUUCCCUUUGGAAAACUGCUGGGAUGGGGAUAACACCUGACAAACUCCUGGAUUCCUGGAAAAUCCCAAAUUUAUUUUGUCUGGAUCCACAAGCUGGGCCCAAGAGACCUCGGAAUACCUGGAAAAUCCCGGGAUUCAUGGAAAACCCCAGGAUUUCUGGAAAAUCCCAAGUUCACUUCAGCUGGAGGCGCUGGGAUUUCUGGAAAACUCAGGGAUUCCUGGAGAAUCCCAAAUUUAUCCCAGCUGAUCAUGCAGGAUGAUGAUUCCCAAAAAUUUUGGGAUGCCUGGGGUGGGGUGUCCAAUCGCGUCUCCAUGGUGUUCCAAGGAAUCCCCAAGCGCCGGGAUUCGGGAAUUGGUGGAGUUUGGGAAUUGGAUUUGGGAAUUGGAUUGGGAAUUGGCAGGAUUUGGGAAUUGGCAGCGUUCGGGAAUUGGCGAGAUUUGGGAAUUGGAUUUGGGAAUUGGAUUGGGGAACUGGAUUUGGGAAUUGGNNNNNNNNNNGGAAUUGGAUUUGGGAAUUGGAUUGGGGAACUGGAUUUGGGAAUUG